Long non-coding RNA from Brassica oleracea var. oleracea, 457 nucleotides. RefSeq lists it as uncharacterized. NCBI's taxonomy places the organism in Eukaryota, Viridiplantae, Streptophyta, Magnoliopsida, Brassicales, Brassicaceae. The record is from RefSeq and is a predicted model, not a curated record. The transcript has 3 exons.
CUCGUCACAGGAUCCUCUUUUCUCGUCGUCUCUUCGCUCGUGUUUGAAGUCACCGCAUAAACCCUAGCUUUGUGGAUUCGAUUCGUUAUCAUGGAUCAACAGCCAGAACCAGUUACUUACGUCUGCGGAGAUUGUGGACAAGAGAAUACUUUGAAGUCUGGGGAUGUGAUCCAGUGCAGAGAGUGUGGCUACCGUAUUCUCUACAAGAAGCGUACCCGUAGAGUUGUUCAAUACGAAGCUCGCUGAGAACCACAACCCCUAAAGAUGAUUCCAAGCCUGCUAAGAUGGCAUUAAGACGUUUCCUGCAUCUGAUUGUAAUAUAUCUGGACUAGACUGUUUCUGUUUCUGUUGUUGGCUACGUGGCUUUGAUUUGAUUGCCAAUGACUUGUGUAAUCUCUUUUAACUAUUUGGUAAAUGGAGAAAUCCUAUAAUAACGGAUUCACUUUGGUAGAGUCCA